UUUCAAGUUUAUGAUAGCCUAUAGAGGAGGGCCCAGAAAAUAUGCGCUUCCCCAAAACAUGACUACCUAUCUGGAGUUUCUAAUAUGAGAAAAUUAGCUGCUUGCUUGUAGGAAUGUGUAUCUUUCACUUCUCUUUUACCUUGUCUAAUGAGAUCUGUCCAAAGUGAUCAGCAUGCAACCUUCUUGUGCAGAUUUGUCAAGAAUAUUUUGUAAAUCAGCAAAUUUCUGACCGAUGUGAACUAUGUACACAUUUUUACAUAUUCUAUUGGUAUUAGUGGACAGACUAAAAAUCAGGGACAUAGUUCUAAGCUAAGAGAUUGCAUUCUUCUGAAGAAAAAAAAAACUCUGCAUCUCCUCUACAUUGCUAUAAAUAAUGAGAGAGAAGAAAGGAAACAUAAAUCAAAGAUAUUUAAAUAACCUGGAUAUGGGCCUCGCCAGAAGACUCUAAAAUGCAUCUGUGGUCACAAGAACAAUUUACAUCCCAUGUUUGUUGGACUGCAUAACACAUCACUAGACAUCAGGAAAAGCUUGUGAUUGAACUGAAUGCAGCGAUGGACUUUUCAAAAUUGUUUUUCCAGGAUCCCAAGAAAAGAAUUCUAAAAACUAAACCUACUAUAAAAAACAAUAAUCUAUUUUAAGUCUACUUUAAACCAUUACAUGGAAGGAAUACAGUACAGUGGAUAUAAGGAGCGCUUUUCAACUAGCCACCAGUAAUAUGUCAAUAAUACCUAAUAAAUACAGAAGAUUCAAACAGA
Non-coding RNA from Pelodiscus sinensis (Chinese soft-shelled turtle), 755 nucleotides. NCBI's taxonomy places the organism in Eukaryota, Metazoa, Chordata, Testudines, Trionychidae. The record is from RefSeq and is a predicted model, not a curated record.